This 2410-nucleotide small RNA is filed under the name Pongo abelii (Sumatran orangutan). RNAcentral describes it as "retained intron". Lineage: Eukaryota; Metazoa; Chordata; Mammalia; Primates; Hominidae. The record is from RNAcentral.
AUUUAGGUUUGAUCCAUAUCGAGUUACUUUUUGUAUAUGGUGUUAUGUAAGGGUCCAGCUUCAUUAUUCUGGCUGUGGAUGUCCAGUUUUCCCAGCACCAGUUGUUGAAAAGACUUUCUUUUCCCCAUUGAAUGGUCUGGGCACCCUUUUCAAAAGUCAGUUGACCAAGUAUUACAAAGGUUUAUUUCUGGGCUCUCUAUUUUAUUCCCUUGAUGGAUGUGUCUGUCUGCAUGGCAGUACCACACUGAUUACUUUCAGCUUUGGAAUCAGGGAGUAUGUCAUCUGCCAUUGAAUGAGUAUCCACUGUGUGCUAGACCUUGUAGGUGGAGCGGUGACUUGGACAUCGUCCCUGCUGGUCCAUUGCCCUGCCGUCCCCGAGUCUUGACUUUAUUCUGGAUAGUGGAGGUUGGCACAAAAACGUCUCCCAGUUAAAGGAGUUAUAAUUCAGUCACCUGACCAUUAGUGACAAGUCAAAAAAAAUGACUCAGUGGGUUUAGUGCCAAGGUAGCAGUGGGUAGCAGUGUACCAUUUGAUGAUUAGCAUAUAGCCGGUUCUCUUAGUGAACGUUUCUCUUUGUGUAUUUGCUUUUCCCCCACGUAGCGACAAAGUUAGUUUCUAAUGACUUCCAUUCUCUACUCUUAUCAGAAGCAGAUUUCACCUGGAAUAUUCUAUAAACCCUUUGAAACCCUCUAUUUUAGCCAUGGUGUCUUCUAAGCAAAGUAAUUUUUUUGAACUUAAAUAACAAAUUGAUAGUUGAAUUAACCUUUUAAAAUAAAAUAUUAAGUGUAGCUAAGAAAUCUGAUUAUUUAAAGGUAUUCCAACAAUAAAUUAUUUGGGAUGGGGCUGGGGAGGUCAGGUUUAUUGAGGUGUAAGUUACAUAUGGUAAAAGUCACCCUUUUAAAGUGAACAAUUUGAUGAAUUUUGAACAACCUCAGUUAUGCAACCACCAUAACAUGAUGGAUUGUUUUAGUAAAUGUUCUUCUUACCAUGAGUUCAUCCUUGUUUAAGUCUGGAGUUUGCCAUGUUAAGGUUGCAGGCGCUUGAAAGUGUAAUAAAAUUGUAGGUUUUUUAAUCUUUUUUUUAAUCUCUUACUGGAAGGAUGAAUUAUAGUUUAAAUAGUAAUAAUACAUUGUCGUUGUUACACUUACUCUUUAAGUAAGCUAGGUCAUUAUUUUCCAAAAUGAAUGUAGUAGAAUUUCAGAAUGGCUUCUGGAACAUGUUUCCUGUUAAAAGGCCUAGAAUAUCCUGCAGUGGUAGAGUUUGCUCCGUUCCAGAAGAUAGCCAAAAAGAAGCUGAGAAAAAAAGAUGCCAAGACUGGAAGCAUCGAAGAUGAUCCAGAAUAUAAGAAGUUUUUAGAAACCUACUGUGUGGAGGAAGAGAAGACCAGUGCCAACCCUGAGACUCUGCUGGGGGAGAUGGAGGCGAAGACAAGAGAGCUCAUUGGUCUGUUUUGCUCAUUUCUUCUCUUUUCUUUAUUGAGAGAUUUACUCGUAGAGGAUAUACGUUUUUUCUCUUUUUCUUGAUUGUGAUAACAAGUUGAAACUUGUUACAGGCUUGACAGAAAUGUAGAGUGAUUUCCAGUUUUGACAAAAGAAUGGCAAGAUGGCAGCAUGGGAAAAUAUUUCUGAGCAUUGGUUGAUGGAGAGCACGUGAUUUUUUUAGUUACGAGCAUUUUAAGUUAUGAUGCUUCCGAAUGAGCAGUGGAGAAGACACAUGAAUGGUCUGUUCCUGAGCGUCAGGGAAGGCAUGUUGUGUCACGUAGUUGAAGUCAGCGGUCACAGACGGAUGCCUCAGGAGCCCAUAGGAAUGAGAUGUUUUGCUUGUGGUGAGGUCAUGGUGCUGCUUCAACACAGAUGCCAGGCUCCCUGAGCCAGGCCAACUUGUGGAUAAGCCCAGCCAGAGCACAGAAUCGAGUUUAAAUCCAGCCUUCCACCCCAUGCCCACAAGUGGUGUACUUUAGAAAUAGUUACUUCCCAGUAGCAUCGACAUGAAAAUCAGGCAAACUGUUGUCAUUUAGUCCCAGACACACCUGGCAGUGUUUCUCCUCUCUGUGGAUCUCCUUUCCUCAAAGCCACCGUUCUUCACCUCUAAUCUCUCCCGCCCAGGCUGUGCCCUGCCCAUCCAUCAAGAUGGAUGUACUUUGGGAGGCCAGGGUGGGCGGAUCACAAGGUCAGGAGUUCGAGAUCAGCCUGGCCGACAUGGUGAAACCCCAUCUCUACUAAAGAUACAAAAAAUUAGCAGGGCAUGGUGAUGCGCGCCUAUAGUUCCAGCUACUGAGGAGGCUGAGGCAGGAGAAUCGCUUGAACCCAGAAGGCACAGGUUGCAGUGAGCCGAGAUCGCACCAUUGCACUCCAGCCUGGUGACAGAGCGAGACUCCAUCUCAAAAAACAAACAAAAUUGAUGUGACGUG